This 436-nucleotide ribosomal RNA is filed under the name uncultured bacterium. Its description in RNAcentral is "bacterial SSU rRNA". It matches the Rfam family "Bacterial small subunit ribosomal RNA", at positions 339 to 791 of the family's 1533-position model. The record is from RNAcentral.
UUACGGGAGGCAGCAGUGGGGAAUAUUGCUCAAUGGGCGAAAGCCUGAAGCAGCAACGCCGCGUGCGCGAUGAAGGUCUUCGGAUCGUAAAGCGCUUUUGAGAGGGACGAGAUAGGACGGUACCUCUUGAAUAAGUCACGGCUAACUACGUGCCAGCAGCCGCGGUAAAACGUAGGUGGCAAGCGUUAUCCGGAUUCACUGGGCGUAAAGCGAGUGCAAGUGGUUGUGUAAGUUGGAUGUGAAAUUUCCCAGCCUAACUGGGAAGGGUCAUUCAAUACUGCGCGACUUGAGGGCAGAAGAGGGGGGUGGAAUUGCCGGUGUAGUGGUGAAAUGCGUAGAUAUCGGCAGGAACACCUGUGGCGAAAGCGGCCCCCUGGUCUGCUCCUGACACUCAGACUCGAAAGCUAGGGUAGCGAACGGGAUUAGAUACCCGGGU